This 255-nucleotide long non-coding RNA is filed under the name Phaseolus vulgaris (common bean). RNAcentral describes it as "long non-coding RNA (PVUL_LNC004459)". Lineage: Eukaryota; Viridiplantae; Streptophyta; Magnoliopsida; Fabales; Fabaceae. The record is from RNAcentral.
CUUCUCGUUAACUGUGACAACCACACACGUCCUUUUCUUUCCUUAUUUCCUUACUCUUUCUCUUUCUUUUUUUCGUGCUUUUGAAGUUUAAUCUUAACCUAAAAAGGAAUCUACCCUCUCAAUCAGAGAGAUUCACAGCUGCCUUUUCCCACAAAAUCUGUACUACGUACUCAACAACUACCGCACGUACCAACAUGCACUUUCCCUUUUUUCUAAUCUAUUUUUCUUCUCAUUUCAGUUUGUAAGGAUUCAUCC